GAUGAACGCUAGCGACAGGCCUAACACAUGCAAGUCGAGGGGCAGCAUGGUAUCAGCUUGCUGAUACCGAUGGCGACCGGCGCACGGGUGAGUAACGCGUAUGUAAUCUGCCUGUAACAGAGGGAUAACCCGGAGAAAUCCGGCCUAAUACCUCAUAGCACAUAUUAUUCGCAUGAGUUUUAUGUUAAAGAGACUCGGUUACAGAUGAACAUGCGUUCCAUUAGCUGGUUGGCGGGGUAACGGCCCACCAAGGCAACGAUGGAUAGGGGUUCUGAGAGGAAGGUCCCCCACACUGGUACUGAGACACGGACCAGACUCCUACGGGAGGCAGCAGUGAGGAAUAUUGGUCAAUGGGCGAGAGCCUGAACCAGCCAAGUCGCGUGGAGAAGACUGCCCUACGGGUUGUAAACUCCUUUUACCUGGGAAUAAAGUGGAGUCGUGACUCUUUUGCAUGUACCUUAUGAAUAAGGA
This 471-nucleotide ribosomal RNA is filed under the name uncultured bacterium. RNAcentral describes it as "bacterial SSU rRNA". It matches the Rfam family "Bacterial small subunit ribosomal RNA", at positions 28 to 492 of the family's 1533-position model. The record is from RNAcentral.